GGAAAGAUGAAAAGAACUUUGAAAAGAGAGUUAAAUAGUACGUGAAAUUGUUGAAAGGGAAACGAUUGAAGUCAGUCAUGCUAAUAGGGAAUCAACUUGAUGGUUCGUUCCCCGGGAGCGAUCUUUCUUGUGCACUUCCUUGUUUGGCAAGUUAGCAUCAAUUUCGGUUGUCAUCAAAAAAUUGAGGGAAUGUGACUUCUUUCGGGAAGUGUUAUAGACCUUAGUUAUAUGUGAUAACCGGGAUUGAGGAUUGCAGCGGAUGCUUUUGGGCUAGUCACCUACCUUCUGACGGUUACCCUGCUUUCGAUAGCUUGCUAACGAUUGUGGGAUUCAACAGUCUAGAUGUUAGAGUGAUCUUAUAUUCGCUAAGGAUGCUGACGUAAUGGCUUUAAACGACCCGUCUUGAAACACGGACCA
RNAcentral lists this ribosomal RNA (417 nucleotides) under Acaulospora spinosa. Its description in RNAcentral is "LSU rRNA". It matches the Rfam family "Eukaryotic large subunit ribosomal RNA", at positions 358 to 668 of the family's 3401-position model. Lineage: Eukaryota; Fungi; Glomeromycota; Glomeromycetes; Diversisporales; Acaulosporaceae. The record is from RNAcentral.